Molecule: ribosomal RNA, 789 nt
Filed under: uncultured bacterium
Lineage: Bacteria
Description: bacterial SSU rRNA
Rfam family: Bacterial small subunit ribosomal RNA
Source: RNAcentral
GCCCUUAGAGUUUGAUCCUGGCUCAGGAUGAACGCUGGCGGCGCGCCUAACACAUGCAAGUCGAACGGCACCCCUCUCCGGAGGGAAGCGAGUGGCGAACGGCUGAGUAACACGUGGAGAACCUGCCCCCUCCCCCGGGAUAGCCGCCCGAAAGGACGGGUAAUACCGGAUACCCCCGGGGCGCCGCAUGGCACCCCGGCUAAAGCCCCGACGGGAGGGGAUGGCUCCGCGGCCCAUCAGGUAGACGGCGGGGUGGCGGCCCACCGUGCCGACAACGGGUAGCCGGGUUGAGAGACCGACCGGCCAGAUUGGGACUGAGACACGGCCCAGACUCCUACGGGAGGCAGCAGUGGGGAAUCUUGCGCAAUGGGGGGAACCCUGACGCAGCGACGCCGCGUGCGGGACGGAGGCCUUCGGGUCGUAAACCGCUUUCAGCAGGGAAGAGUCAAGACUGUACCUGCAGAAGAAGCCCCGGCUAACUACGUGCCAGCAGCCGCGGUAAUACGUAGGGGGCGAGCGUUAUCCGGAUUCAUUGGGCGUAAAGCGCGCGUAGGCGGCCCGGCAGGCCGGGGGUCGAAGCGGGGGGCUCAACCCCCCGAAGCCCCCGGAACCUCCGCGGCUUGGGUCCGGUAGGGGAGGGUGGAACACCCGGUGUAGCGGUGGAAUGCGCAGAUAUCGGGUGGAACACCGGUGGCGAAGGCGGCCCUCUGGGCCGAGACCGACGCUGAGGCGCGAAAGCUGGGGGAGCGAACAGGAUUAGAUACCCUGGUAGUCCCAGCCGUAAACGAU